RNAcentral lists this ribosomal RNA (459 nucleotides) under uncultured bacterium. RNAcentral describes it as "partial 16S ribosomal RNA". It matches the Rfam family "Bacterial small subunit ribosomal RNA", at positions 338 to 795 of the family's 1533-position model. The record is from RNAcentral.
CCUACGGGUGGCAGCAGUGAGGAAUAUUGGUCAAUGGCCGAGAGGCUGAACCAGCCAAGUCGCGUGAGGGAAGAAUGUCCUAUGGAUUGUAAACCUCUUUUGUCAGGGAGCAACGUCACCCACGUGUGGGUGUUGGAGAGUACCUGAAGAAAAAGCAUCGGCUAACUCCGUGCCAGCAGCCGCGGUAAUACGGAGGAUGCGAGCGUUAUCCGGAUUUAUUGGGUUUAAAGGGUGCGUAGGCGGGAUGCCAAGUCAGCGGUAAAAAUGCGGUGCUCAACGCCGUCGAGCCGUUGAAACUGGCGUUCUUGAGUGGGCGAGAAGUAUGCGGAAUGCGUGGUGUAGCGGUGAAAUGCAUAGAUAUCACGCAGAACUCCGAUUGCGAAGGCAGCAUACCGGCGCCCUACUGACGCUGAGGCACGAAAGCGUGGGUAUCGAACAGGAUUAGAUACCCGUGUAGUC